This is a non-coding RNA of Podarcis muralis (Common wall lizard), 398 nucleotides long. The record is from RefSeq and is a predicted model, not a curated record. Lineage: Eukaryota; Metazoa; Chordata; Lepidosauria; Squamata; Lacertidae.
UGGGCACUUCCUUCAUAGAAAUUUCCAACUUCUCCCCACCUGAAGAAACACUGCCAAAACUGACUGACUCAGUCUUCACAAUUGGUGACUGUUUCAAUGAAAAAAGCUUUUAUCAAUUGAAGCAAGAAUCUGAAUGCUAAAUUGUAUGUCUGUGGAUGAAGCACACUCAAGGUAUACAAAGCUAACAAGUUGCUAGCUGAGUGAAGAAAGCAAACCAAUGCAAAACAGUAAAAUGAAAUCUCAAGGGGCCUCAAGAAAAGCAGGUUUCCCCAGGAGCAGGAAGUUGUAAAAGGAGUCCAACUCAGACUCGUCAGGCUUUUGAACAGUGUUUUUAGGCGACUUGCAAUCUAAUGGUUUUCGACCACUCUCCUUACAUCUCCUACGGGGCUUUGUUGAAG